AGGCAACAUGUCCCUGUCCCAGGCAGACUUUGACUCUCAUGGUCUUUUUGUCUUUCACAGAUGAGGUGACCGUCUGAGCCAUGAAACAGUCUUUAAAACCCCACAAUGUGUCGCAUGGAGGAAAGAUUCUCCUUUAAACGACGGCUCGGCUCCUUCAGUGCUUUUCUCCAUCACAGCGUUGUCAUCCUUCUGCUGAGACAAUGCUGCUGUGCAGGUCACUCCCAAGUGGUUGCUCCAUCUUUGCCAAUAGUAGCAAUGGUUGGGGAUGACAUCAUUUUGCCAUGCCGCCUGGACCCCCCUGUGGAUACUUCAGACAUGACUGUGGAGUGGGUGAAGGACGUCACUGUCCAUACACAACCUGAGAAAUGGAGACGUGUCACUGAAGCUCUCUGGAGUGAAGCUCUCUGAUGAGGGAAACUACAGAUGCUUCAUCCCUACACUUGCUAAAGAAACUACCGUCAAGCUUGUUGUUGGUGAGUGAAUAUCUGGAAUCUUUAAGUUUUGCCCUUUCUUUGUGAGCUCAGACCAGUAUAUAUUUCUGUGUUCAUGUUUGUAUCUUGUUCAAAUGUAAAAAAAAAAAAAUUGAGUUAGAGAACCUUAUGAAUGAAUAAAGACUGGCCCAGAAGAGUACCAUUAAUAAUGACAUGGUUCUUUCAUAAAUGUGAGGAGGCUUUUACAACAUAAGUCCAAGCUGCUGCAGAGCUCAUCAAAGGGAAAGAAGCUCAGUGAUAUAUUGAGAUACUUCGAGAUGGGUCAAAGGUUAAAGGCUUUAUAUGCGAUUUUUUGAUCCAGCAGAUGUCGCCCUUGAGCACCAGCAUGAAACCAAAACAACUUGC
Non-coding RNA from Labrus bergylta (ballan wrasse), 836 nucleotides. NCBI's taxonomy places the organism in Eukaryota, Metazoa, Chordata, Actinopteri, Labriformes, Labridae. The record is from RefSeq and is a predicted model, not a curated record.